This 3292-nucleotide long non-coding RNA is filed under the name Capsella rubella. Its description in RNAcentral is "long non-coding RNA (CRUB_LNC004827)". Lineage: Eukaryota; Viridiplantae; Streptophyta; Magnoliopsida; Brassicales; Brassicaceae. The record is from RNAcentral.
CAAGCUAGGGUUUCCCAAGUAAUCGAGCCCUCCGUCGCUGAAGAUCUGUGAACCGGCCUUGAACCAAACGGCCUCUCCGAACUUGACUCCGUUCCUGGCCAAAAGCUCAGGGAAGACGCAGCCAAGGGCUCCGAGCAUGGCCCACCUGCUGUGGAUAACUUCUAGCUCACGGUUCCUUGCGAAUGUCUCUGGGUCAGCAGAGAGUCCAGCGGUGUCCCAUCCGUAGUCUCCGGGGAACUCUCCAGUAAGGUAGCUCGGUGGCUCGCCAGAGAAUGGACCCAAGUACUUGACUCGGUCAGAUCCGUACCAUGGGCUGCCUGAUGGACCCUUUGGCUUGGCCACAGUCUUCCUCAUCGUCACACGGCCGCUUCCGAGGACUUCUGAUGAAGCCGGGGAAAGGUUCACAGCCUUUCCGGCGAAGGCAGGGGAGGAGAGAGCCAUUGUUGAGGCAGCCAUUGAAAUGUUUUUGGUUUUUUUUUUUUUUUUUUUGGUGACUAACUUGUGAGUGAGAGUGAGUGAUAACGUUAAGAUAGGUUUGGAUUAAAUAGUGAUAUUGUGAGUAACGUUUGUUAUCUCUCAAGUAAUCUUUAUCUCUUCGCUCAUUGGGUUUUUGAGAUUUUUGUUUUAUCGUUUCUUAUUCUUAGGUGGCAGUCUCUUGUCCACGAGCUUUCACUUUGGUUUUUUCAUUGCAGCCAAAGCAUUUUGAGACCACAGGUUGUAAAUCUUUGGAAAUGGCUAAAUUUUUGUGAAAAUAGAUAACUUAUUUGAGAGAUUUUUUUCUCUUUAAAAAAGUUAAGAACAUUUCCAAGAUUGAUAUCAUCGAAACAUCAUACAUUUUGAUCGAUUAUUUUUUUUGGGGUGAAACUAUGGUGCUUUGAUCAUGACUAUCAAUAAGUGUAAUAUGAAGUCCCGAUCACUAUCAAUUUACAGAAGUGCAAUUCAUCUUAACAUCGUUUCCAUUGUUACUUUAUCCACUAACCUGAUUCUCAUGAACAAUGUAAAUAAUUUCUAAAACUUUUAGUUAUUUUUAAAAAAUUGCAAAAACUAUUUGAAUAUUUAGGAAGACGAUACAUAACACAUUGAAAAAACUACCAUAUUUAUUAAAUUUUAACCGUGAUUGUAGUAUUCUGUUGUAAAAUUGAACAACAUUGUAGAGAUGAAAAAAAAACAAGACAAUAAUUUAUUUGAGGUUUAAUUUGCAGCAACCUAAGUUCUCAAUCACUUUGAUAGAAAACGCUUUAAGCUAUCAUCAAUUCACGCUUAAUGAUUUCAAUCAUCCUAAACAAUUUCUAAUUUUAACACUCAUUUUUUUUUUUGUUACAAAGCACAAUUAUAGUUUUAUCAUCAUUCAUUGACCUCACACAUGAAUUCACCUAUGAGGCUAUGGCUAUGUAUAUAUAUGCAUUAGAACGCAUGUUCUAUAGUAGUAUACGUUGAAAAUAAAUAACACUAUGCAUGUUCAGUUCUAUUCGCUUUAAUCUUUCGGUACUAAACACCAACGAUAUCAUGCAUUCUUCUAUAUAUACUCUGAUUACUCACUCAAAACAUCUAUGUCCCAUAUCAAGGAAGAUUUCAAUGAAAUCAUUUGAUCUAGACUUAAUUUAUUUUCUUCGGUUAGGAAACCAGGACAUGCAUGUUUUAGUACUCCGAAAUAUCCAAACAUAAUUUCAGUUAUUAUGUAUUCGCCAAUUAUAGCGUGACAAAUGAACCCGGUCCACGUACAGAGGAACUCACAGUCACAUGCAGAACGCAAUCGUCUGUCCAAUUACUCGAUCGUAGUCGUACGAGCUUCAAAAUCAACCAAACACAGAAGGAACAAACACAUGCACAUAGACAACAUGUGAUGAGAGGCAUCACAUACACCUUCUACUUCUAGAGAUUAAAAACCGUACGUUUACCAAGAAACUUGAUACUAGAAAAACAAUAAACAAAAUUUUUGAUUUUGAGACGGCCAUGACUGUUUUCUCCGUUCUGAAAGUUCGUCUGCUCGCAAACGGCCAUCCUUCGCUAAUUCCAAAAGAGAAAAGAACAAACACAUAAUUUCGCCGACCAAAUUUUUUCAAAAAUAAUUUACUUUAGCACCAAAUAUAUAUAAAAUAUGUAAUUACCGGUCUUUCUACAAACUAAUAACACUAUGCUAGUGGUUGAUACCAGCUAUGUUUCAACAAUCUAAACACAUAACUAUUGUCUAUCCCCAUAUACGCGAAAAAGAAAAUUGUUUUAUGUCCAAUGCAUAUUUUAGAGUUUUCACGAGACGACAAGUAUGUGAGAAAAAAUGAGUUAUUUGAUUAAUGACAAACCAUACAAAGUCUUUGCAAAUUUACAUAUGAAAGUCUCCAACCAUCCAUCACAAACACAAACCCUCUCUUUCUCCUCCUGUCUCUCACUCGAAUUCAAAAUACUAAAAUAAAAUGCAAAUUACAAACUGAUAAAACUUUGCUCACUUUCCGGGAACAAAGUUGGUGGCGAAGGCCCAUGCGUUGUUGUUGACUGGAUCGGACAAAUGGUCAGCAAGGUUCUCCAAAGGUCCCUUACCGGUGACGAUGGCUUGAACGAAGAAUCCAAACAUAGAGAACAUAGCCAAUCUUCCGUUCUUGAGCUCCUUUACCUUUAACUCAGCGAAGGCCUCUGGGUCGGUAGCCAAACCCAAUGGGUCGAAGCUGCCUCCGGGGUAAAGCAAGUCCUCGGCCUCUCCCAAUGGACCAUCUCCUGCGACUCUGUAGCCUUCAACAGCUCCCAUCAAGAUGACUUGGGUGGCCCAAAUCGCCAAAAUGCUCUGGGCGUGGACCAAGCUAGGGUUUCCCAAGUAGUCAAGCCCUCCAUCGCUGAAGAUUUGUGAACCGGCCUUGAACCAAACGGCCUCUCCGAACUUGACUCCGUUCCUGGCCAAAAGCUCAGGGAAGACGCAGCCAAGGGCUCCGAGCAUGGCCCACCUGCUGUGGAUAACUUCUAGCUCACGGUUCCUAGCGAAUGUCUCGGGGUCAGCAGAGAGUCCGGCGGUGUCCCAUCCGUAGUCUCCUGGGAACUCACCGGUGAGGUAGCUUGGUGGCUCGCCAGAGAAUGGACCCAAGUACUUGACUCGGUCAGAGCCGUACCAUGGGCUGCCUGAUGGACCCUUUGGCUUGGCAACAGUCUUCCUCAUCGUCACACGGCCGCUUCCGAGGACUUCUGAUGAAGCCGGGGAAAGGUUCACAGCCUUUCCGGCGAAGGCAGGGGAGGAGAGAGCCAUUGUUGAGGCGGCCAUUGAAAUGUUUUUGGUUUUUUUUUUUGGUGACUAACUUGUGAGUGAGAG